GCCUGGUUAGCUCAGUCAGUAGAGCAUGAGAUUCUUAAUCACAGGCCCGUGUGUUCGAGCCCGACAUUGGGUG
Molecule: non-coding RNA, 73 nt
Organism: Danionella cerebrum
Lineage: Eukaryota; Metazoa; Chordata; Actinopteri; Cypriniformes; Danionidae
Source: the annotation of a GenBank genome assembly